Molecule: unclassified non-coding RNA, 348 nt
Filed under: soil metagenome
Description: partial contains 5.8S ribosomal RNA, internal transcribed spacer 2, and large subunit ribosomal RNA
Rfam family: 5.8S ribosomal RNA (bases 1-120)
Source: RNAcentral
GAUGAAGAACGCAGCGAAAUGCGAUAAUUAAUGUGAAUUGCAGAAUUCCGUGAAUCAUCGAGUCUUUGAACGCACAUUGCGCCCCCUGGUAUUCCGGGGGGCAUGCCUGUCCGAGCGUCAUUGCUGCCCAUCAAGCACGGCUUGUGUGUUGGGUCGUCGUCCCCUCUCCGGGGGGGACGGGCCCCAAAGGCAGCGGCGGCACCGCGUCCGAUCCUCGAGCGUAUGGGGCUUUGUCACCCGCUCUGUAGGCCCGGCCGGCGCUUGCCGAACGCAAAUCAAUCUUUUCCAGGUUGACCUCGGAUCAGGUAGGGAUACCCGCUGAACUUAAGCAUAUCAAUAAGCGGAGGA